Molecule: ribosomal RNA, 584 nt
Filed under: uncultured fungus
Lineage: Eukaryota; Fungi
Description: eukaryotic LSU rRNA
Rfam family: 5.8S ribosomal RNA (bases 166-319)
Source: RNAcentral
AACCCAAUGUGAACGUUACCAAACUGAGGCUCGUAGAUGCUCGUGAUAGUGAUGCGUCGCAGCCCCGGAACCAGGCGCCCGCCGGAGGAACCAACCAAACUCUUUCUGUAGUCCCCUAGGCUCGUAAGUUCUCGUAGUUCUGAGCAGGCUCUGAGAUCGGCCUGUAGAUGCCAACAACGGAUCUCUUGGUUCUGGCAUCGAUGAAGAACGCAGCGAAAUGCGAUAAGUAAUGUGAAUUGCAGAAGGGCUCGCUGGAUAGUGCUCGCUAACGCACAUUGCGCCCGCCAGUAUUCUGGCGGGCAUGCCUGUCCGAGCGUCAUUUCAACCCUCGAACCCCUCCGGGGGAUCGGCGUUGGGGAUCGGGACCCCUCACACGGGUGCCGGCCCCGAAAUACCAGUGGCGGUCUCGCCGCAGCCUCUCCUGCGCAGUAGUUUGCACAACUCGCACCGGGAGCGCGGCGCGUCCACGUCCGUAAAACACCCAACUUUCUGAAAAUGUUGACCCUCGGAUCAGGUAGGAAUACCCGCUGGAACUAAGCGUUGUUCUAUAUAAGCUGAAGAAUGCCGGCGCUGAGGAUGCUCGC